RNAcentral lists this long non-coding RNA (1098 nucleotides) under Pogona vitticeps (central bearded dragon). RNAcentral describes it as "lncRNA (ENSPVIG00000021020.1)". Lineage: Eukaryota; Metazoa; Chordata; Lepidosauria; Squamata; Agamidae. The record is from RNAcentral.
GAGCUGCGGCAGAGGGGAGAGCGCGCGAGCGAGCCUGCAAGCGAGUGUGCGAGCGAGCAAUCCACCCGGGCUGGCUGAGCCGGGGAGGUCAAGCACGUGAGAACGGGGGAGAGGAGGAGGAGGAGGAGGGAGAGGAGGCAGGGAGCCCGCCAGCCUGCUGGGGAGGCGGCUGCGCUUGACAGCGGAGAGGCAGAGCGGCAGAGGAAAAGGAGGAAGAAAGCAGGGCUGGGUUGGUGAGCUGCCGAAACUCCCCGCAUCCUGGGAUCAUGGGCUUUGUAGUCCGAAUAAGUAGCCUUUCUCAGCUCGGCGGAGGGAGGAGCCAGCGGCCGAGGGUGGGUGACUUUUGCAGCUCCCGGAGUUUCCAAAGAGGUUCGCCUCUUUUUCUCACUCUCCUCUUUCCAGCCGUGCAAAGGAAGGCGAUGCCCUGCUCCGAGCUGCUUCUCAUCUUGCACCAAGAUUGGAAGGUUUUCGCAUCAGCGGAGAAUGCAGGAAGCAACCCAGAGGACAAUAAGUCCUUAACAGCUGGGGUCCAAGAUAUCUCAAGGACCGCAUCUCCCAUCAUGAGCCAGCUCAGGUGUUAAGAUCAUCAGAGGAGGCCUUUCUCUUAGUCCCACCACCCUCACAGGUGCAUUUGGUGGGGACACAGUAGAGAGCGUUCUCUGCCUUUCCUCCCAGACUUUGGAACUCCCUCCCACAGGCCUUCUCUGCCUUUGCUCCCAGACUUUGGAACUCCCUCCCACUGGAGGCCAGCCUGGCCCCAUCUUGACUGUCCUUCUGCAAGCAGGCAAAGACCUUUGUCUUCAGGCAGACUUUCCCUCAGGGACUCGCUGCCUGAGUGGGGUUUUUUUUUAAUGGAUGGUUGUGCCUUGUUGCUUUUUAAAAUGUGUUUUUUAAUUGCUGCAUUUUAUUUACCACUUAAAAAAUAUAAUAUUUGUUUAAAUUUUUAAAAGAUUUGUAUAUUUAAAGUUUUUAGCUUUUAAAUGUUUUUUUAAAUGAUGCAACUGCCUAAAAUUCUUUUUAAGGAAAAUAACAGUGGGAUAAAAUAUUUUAAAUCAGUCAGUCAAUAAACAAAGCACCUCUACUCCCCUUUGGGUUUCU